Molecule: ribosomal RNA, 192 nt
Filed under: Triticum aestivum (bread wheat)
Lineage: Eukaryota; Viridiplantae; Streptophyta; Magnoliopsida; Poales; Poaceae
Description: partial small subunit ribosomal RNA
Source: RNAcentral
AUGAGAGGGAGAAAAGGGAAGAGAGGAGGGAGAGAGAGAGAGGAAAGAGGAGAGGGAGGCACCACGUCGGACGGGAGAGGGUCGCAGCCCGCGUCGGCCUGCUUCGGCGAGGUCAGGCGUGCACUGGCGGUUCGUGGCGGCUCAAUCCACUCCUGGAUCGAAACCUACGAGGACGCUGGUGCUCUGGCGUGA